Molecule: ribosomal RNA, 254 nt
Filed under: uncultured bacterium
Lineage: Bacteria
Description: partial 16S ribosomal RNA
Rfam family: Bacterial small subunit ribosomal RNA
Source: RNAcentral
GACGAACCGUGCGAACGUUGUUCGGAUUCACUGGGCUUAAAGGGCGCGUAGGCGGGUUGUCAAGUCAGGGGUGAAAGCCUCCAGCUCAACUGGAGAAGUGCCUUUGAUACUGAUGAUCUUGAGGGAGGUAGGGGCAUGUGGAACUUCCGGUGGAGCGGUGAAAUGCGUAGAUAUCGGAAGGAACGCCGGUGGCGAAAGCGACGUGCUGGACCUCUUCUGACGCUGGAGGCGCGAAAGCUAGGGGAGCGAACGGG